CCUACGGGGGGCAGCAGUAGGGAAUAUUGGACAAUGGGCGAAAGCCUGAUCCAGCAAUGCCGCGUGAGUGAUGAAGGCCUUAGGGUUGUAAAGCUCUUUUACCCGAGAUGAUAAUGACAGUAUCGGGAGAAUAAGCUCCGGCUAACUCCGUGCCAGCAGCCGCGGUAAUACGGAGGGAGCUAGCGUUGUUCGGAAUUACUGGGCGUAAAGCGCACGUAGGCGGCGAUUUAAGUCAGAGGUGAAAGCCCGGGGCUCAACCCCGGAACUGCCUUUGAGACUGGAUUGCUAGAAUCUUGGAGAGGCGAGUGGAAUUCCGAGUGUAGAGGUGAAAUUCGUAGAUAUUCGGAAGAACACCAGUGGCGAAGGCGGCUCGCUGGACAAGUAUUGACGCUGAGGUGCGAAAGCGUGGGGAGCAAACAGGAUUAGAUACCCCGGUAGUC
This 440-nucleotide ribosomal RNA is filed under the name uncultured bacterium. RNAcentral's name for it is "bacterial SSU rRNA". It matches the Rfam family "Bacterial small subunit ribosomal RNA", at positions 338 to 795 of the family's 1533-position model. The record is from RNAcentral.